AAGGGAGACCUAAUUCAGGUAUGGGACGAAAAAAAAGUAGUCGCUACCAAGAAUCAAUCCCAAAAGGUCGGAGCGAGGCGAAAUUGGCUUUCAAACUAGGUUCUGGGUUCACACAAGACCUGAAUCAGGAACAAGGGCUAUUAGCUCAGGUGGUUAGAGCGCACCCCUGAUAAGGGUGAGGUCCCUGGUUCGAGUCCAGGAUGGCCCACCUGCACAGGUGGCAAAAACAAGAGAAGCUCCGAAUCAGCACCUUAUCUUACUUAUAUAGUAAGAGAGAAUGCUGGCUCUGAGUACAGAGUCCAGAGGAACCUUGAAAACUGCAUAGAGCUAGGUGAAAAAGCCAAAAAAGAAGACCGCAA
This 359-nucleotide transfer RNA is filed under the name Microcystis aeruginosa. RNAcentral describes it as "16S-23S ribosomal RNA intergenic spacer". The stretch from base 135 to 208 matches the Rfam family "tRNA". Lineage: Bacteria; Bacillati; Cyanobacteriota; Cyanophyceae; Chroococcales; Microcystaceae. The record is from RNAcentral.